Molecule: long non-coding RNA, 4722 nt
Organism: Monomorium pharaonis (pharaoh ant)
Lineage: Eukaryota; Metazoa; Arthropoda; Insecta; Hymenoptera; Formicidae
Exons: 2
Source: RefSeq, a predicted model, not a curated record
CGGCGACGACGCCGACGACGACGAAGCUGACGAAGUCGCCGUGUAUCCGGAGCGGAGCGGAGAGUCGCGUCGCGAGCCAGGUGCUGGAGCGACAAGGAGUGUACGCGAUAGACGGAGAGGGAGAGCGAGAGAGAGAUAGAGCCAGGCGCAAGGACGGAGGUGGCAGCGACGAGAGGAGCGGACAGGGACACGCGUUCAAGUGGGAGAGAGAAAGAGUGAGAGAGAGGGUACGGAGGCAGAAAGACGGAAGGAUAGAAUAGAGAAGGGAGGCAGAGGGGAAGAGAAAAAGAGAGAGAGAGAGAAAGAGAGCGCACUGAGAAUUGGAGAGGACGCGGUAUGUCGCUCCGCCGUGCAGGCCACGUCGCCUCGGAACGCAGACUGCCGACGCCUGGACAACUGCCGCCCACCCGGCGGCCGGCUCUCCCGAGAGAGAAAGACAGAAAGAGAAAAAGAGAGAGAGAGAGAGGGAUCCAAGAAACGGGCCUGUCCCCCUCUGCCUUCCUCGCCGCGCCGACGACCGUUCUCACCGCUCUCCCUCCAGGUUCCCCGAUCGCGAUCCUGCUCGCUUGCUCCUGCGGAAGACGAAGGAGCAGCAGCAGCAUUAGCAGCAGCGGCAGCGGCAGCGCGCGCGGUCCGCCGAUGGAAAGUGGGAGAGUGUGAGACGUAGACCGGAGAGAGGGAGAGGAGAACCAGGGUGGAGGGUAAGGGAGGAUCAGGAACGCACCUCCUCACACCGAUAUCUCUCUCUUUCCGUGCCGUGGAGGAUAGGCUACACGCCGAGGGAGCCAGUAAGGCAGGUCACGGACCGGCAGGGGUACCGGUACACGGGGUGUGAGUUUACGGAAGUGACGUUUCGCCGCUCAUACGUUCCCUCGCGUUCUUUCCCUCCGCGCCAGAUCGGAAUUAUCAUUAUUUUCUCACCCGAUUGUAAGAACAGAACGGUUUUCGAUUCCGAGUCUCAGAUCGCGAAAGGAAGAAAAAAUUGUGAAUUUUGCUACAGAUAUAACAAUUUAAUUUUUUGCUUACGUUCUGGUGUCAUUUUUCAUCAUUUCUGAUAACGUUAUCGCAAAGUUCGAUAUCGCGACAACGUGCAAAAAGACGCGCGAAAAAACGACACGCGUUUCGUUCGACGAUAUUCGUCGAGAAGAACGGCCGCGUAUUUGUAUCAUAACGGGCGUCAUCAUUGAGGCAUUCACGCCCGAUUAUUCGGCCUUUAACGAUGCUCUAGAGUUCAAUCCGGAGAAGCACUCGCGGUCAAGUGGAAGACCCACGUAGGGCCACCAUUACUAUUUAGAGCAUUGGCAAUCUUUCGUAUACCCCACCCAGCAUAACGUGUACCCAGACACUGUUCUAUAGACGAAUUGAGAGAAAGAGAGAGAGAGAGAGAGAGCUCCGGUCAAACCUUCCCGAUGGGGUCACGCGUUAUUUCUCGCAGCCACGUAACCCUCGGCGAUAUGCGUGUCUAGGGACGCUUAAAUUGAUCAGCUAUUCAUACUUUAAUCCAACGUGAGAUGGAUAGUUAUAAUCGCAACAUGAAAGAUAAAUUAUUACUAGGAAUUUAGGUAUUAAAACCUUCCAUUCGAAAUAAACUCGAAUAUCAGUGAGCUUUUAUCUUGAUUAAAUGUUAUUAAUUAGUGUAAUGUAUUCACCCAAAAUUCGUUAUAAAUUAGUAAAUUUUACUCUUGAAAGUUCACGGAAACACAAUCCAAUAUUGAAUUAAUAUUACAUUCAACUUUAACGUUCAAAUAAGCAAACGCGGUUGCCAAUAAGCUUAAGCAUCUUCAAGUCUUCGAUUUGUCGUCAACCAAUCGACCGACCACGAUCCACGAUUGAUUUUUUUUUUUAAUUUAAUUCGCCUUUUACGUACCUGGCAACAACUUUAACUGGCAUUCCUAACUGUACAAUGAUGGAGACCAAGAUUACUCAAAAUAUAUAUAAGUACGUCGCUUCUCGUAUAAAAUCAGUCUUACGUUAGACGCCGAUUUAAAUCCUCGUUGCUAAUACUAUUUAUCAAAGAUACAUUUUUUAACAUUUACAUAACUUAUUCGCGAGUGCUCAAAACACAUUUAAUUUAUUAAAAUAUAAAAUAUUGUGCCAAUAAUACUGUACAUUUAGAUAUCGCAAGAGUAUUCGAAAAAAAUGGGACAAAAGUUUAGAGAAAUUUCACAAGGUAAGCUUGUUUCCCUAAAAUGCGCGGAAGUCUUGGUUUUGCUAAUAUUUUGAAAUUCUCUUACAACCUUAAAUAUUUAGAUAAAUUUCUUAAAAAGAUUAUACGUUUUCGAAGUAAAUGCAUUCAUAUCGCGAAUGAGUUUAGAAGUGCGUUACGUGCAAAUUAAACCAUUGCAAAAUCAUGAUCGACGUGUGAUUAUUAGCAGAGUACAUUUGAGAGAGCAAAUUAUCAACAUUGCGUUAUAGCCAGCGAUGACACGUCGUUCUCGCACGUGUCUUAUCAUGUAUCAUAAAUAAAAAGCAAAUCUUGAAACUCAGAAUGUAGAUAAAUAAAAGAUAGUUAUACAAAACAACUAUAAUUAUAAAAAGAUAAUUGUAUUAUCGUUUUAUAUUCAAAAUUUUCUCGAUAAAAAUAAAAUUACAAAAUACUUUUUCUGAAAAGACUUAUCACGGAGACUAAAAGAGUUAAGAGUAUCAACGGUCACUAUACGAUAACAAUAUUAAGGUGUGGUAAAACGGUCGCGAUAUCGAUGAGACGGGUGCAACGUUCUCGCGAUGUUCCAAUAUCUCUUGCUGGUAAGGUAGAUUCGGUUCGUGUUAAUUGGUCAAUUGUAUUACAGAAAUUGUAAUAUAAAUUAAAUGCAACGUGCAAUUUAUAUGUACAUUGCGAUCUCUUUGUUUCCGAGUUAACGGAAGGAGAAUAAUCGUAAAAAUAGGAUCUCACGUCUAUAAGUCGAACUAACUCUGGCCUGACCUGUGACCUCUUCAUAACGGUAUUCAGAGCGAAAUUUUUUCGUUGGUUCGAUCCAACAUUAUAUUAUUGUAUUUAUCAUUGUUGCUAUGGUACAUUUAUCUCAUAUUAAAUUAAAAUUAAUCAAAGAUCAUUUUUUUAUUUGUCUAUCAAUAGAUUUUUAAUGAAAACUUCAAGUUUAGUAAAUUUUUCAAAUUUAACUUGAAUAUUUCAAAGCUAAAUUCAAGUUUCAUUCAACUCAAGUCAAUUAAAACUAUUUUAAGAAAGUUGACCAAUUUAAAUGCUAAUUCGAUAGAAAACGUUACCCGGAAAAACAUAUCGUAUGGUUUGUGAUUUCUCCUCGUUACAGUUGUUAUAUAAGAUUAAUUACAACGUACAUGUCAAUAAGCAAGUCAGGAUGAGCACCCCGGUUUCAUUUAGGUAUAUGGCGGUUGUAUAGUAUAUAUUUACAUAGCAACUGACACCACGAGAGAACAUGUGCAGACUCGAGCGAGCGGCAGUCUAGUAUCAUUUACAUCUCAAAAGUACACGGAGACGAAAAUACCCCCAAAGUAUUUGCCAUUAAUAACAUUUAAUAGCCUAUAAUUUAAUGAAAAAUUUUAAUAGUCCGAAAUUUUUAAAAAUGCUCUGUAUCCAAGGAUUAUAACACUAAAAUAAUAACGAUAAAUAUUUAGUGAAGUUGAAAACGUCUGAAAGAAACGCUCUCUUUCUCUCUCCCUGGGUAAUAUGUUAUUAUGCAAAAUUCCUUUAUGAUGCUAAAAGCUUUCAUACGAGGCAAUGAACCUAGUUCACAUCAACUCGCAACAUUUUUCCGCUUACGCCUACGCACACGGCUCGCAACACGGUCGCGAAAUAUUCUAACGGUGUGAUGCGAAUUAAGCGGUAGUUAGUACUAGGUAGACGGCGUCGACCGUACUUUUGGUCUUUGCUUUUGAUUAGAAGAGGAGAGAGGACGGAAAAAAUGUCGGAACAUUGCGGCCGGGGCGCGCGUCUUUAGAUCUCCCACGCGAAUUACGGAGUGAACGCGCGAAAAGCCGGCACCGCGACUCCAGCAGGCAAUCAUUGUCCACAGUUAAAUUUACAUUAAGCUCGGAGCGUUAUAAGCGCGCGCCGACAAACGAACGGUCACGAACGUCUCGCGCUCGAGUUUAGUCUGCACGCCCCGAUGGAGUCCCGUGCGUCUAAACAGCCAACGUUCUAACGUUUACGCGUUGACAUAUGGGUCCACAUGCGAUUUUAUGUGUAUUAUGAGGAUACCGGCGAGCAAUUCGCAAUCGUUCACGAUUCAUUCGAAGCCACAAUGCCUUUAGUGCCGCGAGACUCGGUUGGAACGGCCUAGCUCACGGGGAAAGUCGUCCAGCUGGCAAUAAUUAAAAGUGGAAGGCACAUCGCCGCCGAGCACCACCACGGACUCUAUAGGCAAGAGAGGCGAGCGAAGAGGCAGCUGAUGGCGUAUAGCCGGGCAUCGAACCGUGACCCGAGCACCUGUUGCCGCCUCCACGGUCGUAGCUCGACGUGAACUGACCUAACUUGUCCCUACUUCCUAUACAGUCCGCAGGAGAUAGAGCGAUUCGACCAGCCUAACCGGUAGACAAAAAAAAACGAUGCCGCUGUCAAUAGCUUGAGAAAUUAAUCCGUAAAAACUGGACGAACCUAGCUGCUAGACUUUACAUUAACAUUAUGGAACCCGUUUUACAGUUAUUAGAUAUUUGAAAAAUAUUUCGAUGAGAAUCUUUGUGGUGAAUCUUUCGAACCAAUUAUCGUCUUUCAUGAAAUGGAGAAUUAAAAUAUUUUUUUUUAAA